ACGGGCAUAGUUUAAAGGUAGAACUAAGGUCUCCAAAACCUUCAGUGUGGGUUCGAUUCUCGUCACCCGCU
This 71-nucleotide transfer RNA is filed under the name Streptococcus pneumoniae. RNAcentral's name for it is "tRNA-Trp(cca)". It matches the Rfam family "tRNA". From Rfam's summary of the family: Transfer RNA (tRNA) molecules are approximately 80 nucleotides in length. Their secondary structure includes four short double-helical elements and three loops (D, anti-codon, and T loops). Lineage: Bacteria; Bacillati; Bacillota; Bacilli; Lactobacillales; Streptococcaceae. The record is from RNAcentral.